AAAGCGCACGCAGGCGGUUUGUUAAGUCAGAUGUGAAAUCCCCGAGCUUAACUUGGGAACUGCAUUUGAAACUGGCAAGCUAGAGUCUUGUAGAGGGGGGUAGAAUUCCAGGUGUAGCGGUGAAAUGCGUAGAGAUCUGGAGGAAUACCGGUGGCGAAGGCGGCCCCCUGGACAAAGACUGACGCUCAGGUGCGAAAGCGUGGGGAGCAAACAGGAUUAGAUACCCUAGU
Molecule: ribosomal RNA, 230 nt
Filed under: uncultured bacterium
Lineage: Bacteria
Description: partial 16S ribosomal RNA
Rfam family: Bacterial small subunit ribosomal RNA
Source: RNAcentral